RNAcentral lists this ribosomal RNA (293 nucleotides) under uncultured bacterium. RNAcentral describes it as "partial 16S ribosomal RNA". It matches the Rfam family "Archaeal small subunit ribosomal RNA", at positions 455 to 747 of the family's 1478-position model. The record is from RNAcentral.
GUGCCAGCCGCCGCGGUAAUACCGGCAGCUCAAGUGAUGUCCUAUAUUAUUGGGCCUAAAGCGUCCGUAGCUGGCCGACCAAGUCCGUCGGGAAAUCCAUCAGCCCAACUGAUGGGCGUCCGGCGGAAACUGCACGGCUUGGGACCGGAAGACUCGAGAGGUACGUCCGGGGUAGGAGUGAAAUCCCGUAAUCCCGCACGGACCACCGAUGGCGAAAGCACUUCGAGAAAACGGAUCCGACAGUGAGGGACGAAAGCCAGGGUCUCCAACCGGAUUAGAUACCCCAGUAGUCC